UAAAACAAUGUUUUCGUCGAUUAAUACAAUAUAGCUUUCGCUAAAAUCGACCAACAAACAAACAUUUUCUACCCAGAACUACGUAAGCCUUAAUUUCUCUAUUGAGAUACGUAGGAGCGGGAUUUGUAAAUCUUGUCAGGCCCACUAAUAAAAAAACUUAGGUUUAGUCCUUCGUCAAAAAAAUCCAAAAAACAUUCUCCUCUAAGGCCCACUAAUAAAAAAACUUAGGUUUAGUCCUUCGUCAAAAAAAUCCAAAAAACAUUCUCCUCUCAUCCUUUCUUUCUUUCCCACCUGAUAACUUAAAGCCUAACAUUUCAAACUAAC
RNAcentral lists this long non-coding RNA (324 nucleotides) under Lathyrus oleraceus (garden pea). Its description in RNAcentral is "Pisum sativum (pea) long non-coding RNA (PSAT_LNC039903)". The record is from RNAcentral. Lineage: Eukaryota; Viridiplantae; Streptophyta; Magnoliopsida; Fabales; Fabaceae.